CAGGGUACCCUUUGACCCUGCUUAGUUCAAACAAAUGAACUAGUUUUCCAAAAGGUUGUAUCAUUUUAAAAUUUUAGUUCAUUUGGUUGAACUUAAGGAGGGUCAAAGGGUACCCUG
Molecule: non-coding RNA, 117 nt
Organism: Brachypodium distachyon (stiff brome)
Lineage: Eukaryota; Viridiplantae; Streptophyta; Magnoliopsida; Poales; Poaceae
Source: Rfam